Molecule: non-coding RNA, 1485 nt
Organism: Bemisia tabaci
Lineage: Eukaryota; Metazoa; Arthropoda; Insecta; Hemiptera; Aleyrodidae
Source: RefSeq, a predicted model, not a curated record
CAGUCGAAUCGAAAUAUAUCUCAGUAAUUGGCAAGAAAAAUGCGUCUCCUAUCAACUCGUUUAUUGGUAACGCCAAGUCUCUGAUAACACAUUUGCUCCGACGGAUAAUUUUUAAUUCAAUAGCUCACAGUGUGCACCGAGCCAGCCCACUCCACUACAAUUUUGCAUUACUUUGCUUAUGCAAGUCAGUCAGUGCAUAAUCUACCUUCUCACUUUCAAAAUUUUACAACGACACCGGUCUCCUCUCCUCAUCAACUACAACUUGUUUUGCUGUUCUGCAAGUUACGCUUGUGGGGAUUUGAACGACAUUACUGCAAAUGCAAGAGUGUGACCGAUCAAACUCGGAUCGGCAAGACUCCAACGCACUUGUCACACUUUUGUUCAUUAUUAUAAUACUACGUCAAUAAAAAGAUAUAAGAAUUUUACCCAAAACUCCCUCAGUGAGAUUUCGAAAGUUGCUUUAUCUAAUGACACGUACCUAUGCUCCGCCUUUGCAAUUACGAAUGAGCAUAGGAAAUAGAAUUCUACAAAAAUAUGGAAUAUAGAUUUCUUUCGCCGUCCCGUUACACUCGCGGAAUCAUGAAUGUUUUGGGUCGCAAGAUGAACGGGCUCAUCGGCAAUCUCGACAACACCAAUAAAGACAGCUAUUAUGCGUUGUUGCACAAUCCGGACAAAAGUAAAUUUCUUUGGAGACGCAAGUUAAACAAGUGUAUAGCCUUAGUGCUGCUAUCAUAACAAAAAACAAAGAAAACGAGAGGGGGUUUGGAUCAAAUGAAACACUUCUUGCAAAUAAACUGGCAAUUGUUAAAGAAGCUACAUGUCCAACGAUUCUCUUGAAUCGCGGUAACUAAUUGAUAUUAAGCACUCCACGGUAGAACGUAUAACUCUUACGUUAGUAAAGAAUAAAAAUUAAAGUAUAAAAUGAUUUUGAAUUUUGUGACCACAUUGCAGAUCGCAAUCGUAAUAGUAACCACGUCUUAUUAACAACUAGUGAAACCUUUGAAAUGUAAUCGAAACUUUAUAUUUUUGUUAGAACCUGUAGUUCCUUAAUUUUUUCGCAACAUGAUGUCAGACCUUUUCUUUCUCAGCCAAGUUAUAUUUGUGAAAUAAUUUAAGAGAAUAUUUGUAAUCAAUUUAUGGGGGUUGUUAUGUCAGAGGACGGUUCCUCCCUUUUGUAAUUUAUUACAAUAAAGAAUAAAAAAACCGAUUCUCUUGCAACAAACAUUCAUUUCUAUACCAUUGAAAUUAUGGAUUAUAUGAUUAGUUACCUAUAGUUUACAGUUUUUGCAUAUUUUGACCGAACUCGAAAAUUCAAUUUUAUUCUGUAAUUUAGGAGAACUGGCCUGCCCACCGGUCCGCGCACAAGCUCUGAUAAAACAAACUCUGAAUCGACCGCUCUGACCCGUCUGUUCGGUUGAGCACCGAAAUUGAAUUUGACAGAAAUAAAUUAACCGGAAUGAAGCUAUAGUCAUAUCUUUGAUAAAA